UAGGGAAUCUUCGGCAAUGGGGGGAACCCUGACCGAGCAACGCCGCGUGAGUGAAGAAGGUUUUCGGAUCGUAAAGCUCUGUUGUUAAGGAAGAACGAGUGUGAGAAUGGAAAGUUCAUACUGUGACGGUACUUAACCAGAAAGGGACGGCUAACUACGUGCCAGCAGCCGCGGUAAUACGUAGGUCCCGAGCGUUGUCCGGAUUUAUUGGGCGUAAAGCGAGCGCAGGCGGUUAGAUAAGUCUGAAGUUAAAGGCAGUGGCUCAACCAUUGUAGGCUUUGGAAACUGUUUAACUUGAGUGCAGAAGGGGAGAGUGGAAUUCCAUGUGUAGCCGUGAAAUGCGUAGAUAUAUGGAGGAACACCGGUGGCGAAAGCGGCUCUCUGGUCUGUAUCUGACGCUGAGGCUCGAAAGCGUGGGGAGCGAACAGG
Molecule: ribosomal RNA, 429 nt
Filed under: Bacteroidota bacterium
Lineage: Bacteria; Pseudomonadati; Bacteroidota
Description: Bacteroidetes bacterium partial 16S ribosomal RNA
Rfam family: Bacterial small subunit ribosomal RNA
Source: RNAcentral